RNAcentral lists this ribosomal RNA (588 nucleotides) under Triticum aestivum (bread wheat). RNAcentral's name for it is "partial small subunit ribosomal RNA". The record is from RNAcentral. Lineage: Eukaryota; Viridiplantae; Streptophyta; Magnoliopsida; Poales; Poaceae.
AUGGCAGGUGAAGAAAACGAGUAUGAUGUUGAAGGAAAUGGGCAUCUCAAUCAGCCCGUCAUGCGGUUUCACUUCAACGCAUUACGUGAUCAUCUACGCUGAGAGUUCAGAAAUAGCCUUGACCCAAUUGAAGAGAAGCAAGACAAGUUGUCGAGAGAUUUGCAGCAACUUAUGGGUAAUGUUGAUGAGCAACUCACUCAGAACAUGGCAGCCAUGAAGACUGGUAUUGUUGCUGAUAUUGUGCGAGAGCUUCGUCAGAACCGAGAAGAUGCAAGUGUCCUUGGUGAAGAACAAAAUGUAACUGAUGGGGAAGGUGCUGCCUCCAAUGCACAAGCUAGAAGAAACCGUGCUCCUGCUCCCCAUGCCAUGAGACCUCCCGGUCCCGGACGUGGAAAUGGUCAUGGUAAUGGACGUGGUCAUCAUGAAGUUGUUGCUGGUCGUGGUCUUAGAGGAGGCCACCGAAGAGCAAAUCUGCACCAUGAAGGUAGUGGAGAUGAGUUUGAUGAAGAUGAAGAAGGCAUGCACCAGAAUGAAAGAUUUCAUCAUCGUAGAAACUAUGGUCGUGGACAGCAGGAGGAGGAGAGGUUU